AGAGUUUGAUCCUGGCUCAGGACGAACGCUGGCGGCGUGCUUAACACAUGCAAGUCGAACGGAAAGGCCCUUCGGGGUACUCGAGUGGCGAACGGGUGAGUAACACGUGGGUGAUCUGCCCUGCACUCUGGGAUAAGCCUGGGAAACUGGGUCUAAUACCGGAUAGGACCACACACUUCAUGGUGAGUGGUGCAAAGCUUUUGCGGUGUGGGAUGAGCCCGCGGCCUAUCAGCUUGUUGGUGGGGUAAUGGCCCACCAAGGCGACGACGGGUAGCCGGCCUGAGAGGGUGACCGGCCACACUGGGACUGAGAUACGGCCCAGACUCCUACGGGAGGCAGCAGUGGGGAAUAUUGCACAAUGGGCGCAAGCCUGAUGCAGCGACGCCGCGUGAGGGAUGACGGCCUUCGGGUUGUAAACCUCUUUCAGUAGGGACGAAGCGAAAGUGACGGUACCUACAGAAGAAGGACCGGCCAACUACGUGCCAGCAGCCGCGGUAAUACGUAGGGUCCGAGCGUUGUCCGGAAUUACUGGGCGUAAAGAGCUCGUAGGUGGUUUGUCGCGUUGUUCGUGGAAACUCACAGCUUAACUGUGGGCGUGCGGGCGAUACGGGCAGACUAGAGUACUGCAGGGGAGACUGGAAUUCCUGGUGUAGCGGUGGAAUGCGCAGAUAUCAGGAGGAACACCGGUGGCGAAGGCGGGUCUCUGGGCAGUAACUGACGCUGAGGAGCGAAAGCGUGGGUAGCGAACAGGAUUAGAUACCCUGGUAGUCCACGCCGUAAACGGUGGGUACUAGGUGUGGGUUUCCUUCCUUGGGAUCCGUGCCGUAGCUAACGCAUUAAGUACCCCGCCUGGGGAGUACGGUCGCAAGACUAAAACUCAAAGGAAUUGACGGGGGCCCGCACAAGCGGCGGAGCAUGUGGAUUAAUUCGAUGCAACGCGAAGAACCUUACCUGGGUUUGACAUGCACAGGACGUACCUAGAGAUAGGUAUUCCCUUGUGGCCUGUGUGCAGGUGGUGCAUGGCUGUCGUCAGCUCGUGUCGUGAGAUGUUGGGUUAAGUCCCGCAACGAGCGCAACCCUUGUCCUAUGUUGCCAGCGGGUAAUGCCGGGGACUCGUAGGAGACUGCCGGGGUCAACUCGGAGGAAGGUGGGGAUGACGUCAAGUCAUCAUGCCCCUUAUGUCCAGGGCUUCACACAUGCUACAAUGGCCAGUACAGAGGGCUGCGAAGCCGCAAGGUGGAGCGAAUCCCUUAAAGCUGGUCUCAGUUCGGAUUGGGGUCUGCAACUCGACCCCAUGAAGUCGGGGUCGCUAGUAAUCGCAGAUCAGCAACGCUGCGGUGAAUACGUUCCCGGGCCUUGUACACACCGCCCGUCACGUCAUGAAAGUCGGUAACACCCGAAGCCAGUGGCCUAACCUUUUGGAGGGAGCUGUCGAAGGUGGGAUCGGCGAUUGGGACGAAGUCGUAACAAGGUAGCCGUA
This 1480-nucleotide ribosomal RNA is filed under the name [Mycobacterium] chelonae subsp. gwanakae. RNAcentral's name for it is "bacterial SSU rRNA". It matches the Rfam family "Bacterial small subunit ribosomal RNA". The record is from RNAcentral. Lineage: Bacteria; Bacillati; Actinomycetota; Actinomycetes; Mycobacteriales; Mycobacteriaceae.